Molecule: ribosomal RNA, 402 nt
Filed under: uncultured bacterium
Lineage: Bacteria
Description: partial 16S ribosomal RNA
Rfam family: Bacterial small subunit ribosomal RNA
Source: RNAcentral
CCUACGGGAGGCAGCAGUGGGGAAUAUUGGGCAAUGGGCGCAAGCCUGACCCAGCAAUGCCGCGUGAAGGAAGAAGGCUUUCGGGUUGUAAACGUCUUUGACAGGGGAAGAGCAGAAGACGGUACCCUGAAAACAAGCCACGGCUAACUACGGGCCAGCAGCCGCGGUAAUACGUAGGUGGCAAGCGUUGUCCGGAUUUACUGGGUGUAAAGGGCGUGUAGCCGGGAAGGCAAGUCAGAUGUGAAAUCUGGAGGCUCAACCUCCAAAUUGCCUUUGAAACUGUUUUUCUUGAGUACUGGAGCGGCAGCCUGACUUCCUUGUGUAGCGGUGACAUGCGUAGAUAUCAGGAGGCACACCAGUGGCGACGGCGGUCUGCUGGACAGCAACUGACGGUGCGGCGCG